GAUGAACGCUAGCUAUAGGCUUAACACAUGCAAGUCGAGGGGAAACGGCAUUAUGUGCUUGCACAUUUUGGACGUCGACCGGCGCACGGGUGAGUAUCGCGUAUCCAACCUGCCCUUUACUUGGGGAUACCCCGUUGAAAGACGGCCUAAUACCCGAUGUAAUUCAUUGAUGGCAUCAGAUAUGAAUAAAAGAUUUAUCGGUAAAGGAUGGGGAUGCGUCUGAUUAGCUUGUUGGUGAGGUAACGGCUCACCAAGGCGACGAUCAGUAGGGGUUCUGAGAGGAAGGUCCCCCACAUUGGAACUGAGACACGGUCCAAACUCCUACGGGAGGCAGCAGUGAGGAAUAUUGGUCAAUGGGCGCAAGCCUGAACCAGCCAAGUAGCGUGCAGGAAGACGGACCUAUGGGUUGUAAACUGCUUUUAUACGAGAAUAAUUUGAUGCACGUGUGCGUUAUUGCAUGUAUCGUAUGAAUAAGGACCGGCUAAUUCCGUG
This 492-nucleotide ribosomal RNA is filed under the name uncultured bacterium. RNAcentral describes it as "partial 16S ribosomal RNA". It matches the Rfam family "Bacterial small subunit ribosomal RNA", at positions 28 to 507 of the family's 1533-position model. The record is from RNAcentral.